UCCGGCUUAUCACCGGCGGUUUCUUUAGAGUGCCCAACUAAAUGAUGGCAACUAAAGACGAGGGUUGCGCUCGUUGCGGGACUUAACCCAACAUCUCACGACACGAGCUGACGACAGCCAUGCAGCACCUCGACUAAUGUCCCUUGCGGGAAAAACGACUUUCGCCGCCUGUCAUUAGCCGUUCGAGCCCAGGUAAGGUUCUUCGCGUUGCGUCGAAUUAAACCACAUACUCCACCGCUUGUGCAGGCCCCCGUCAAUUUCUUUGAGUUUUAGCCUUGCGGCCGUACUUCCCAGGCGGAAUACUUAAUGCGUUGGCUUCGCCACCGAAAUGUAGGCAAUCCCGGCAGCUAGUAUUCAUCGUUUACGGCGUGGACUAC
Molecule: unclassified non-coding RNA, 377 nt
Filed under: uncultured bacterium
Lineage: Bacteria
Description: contains 16S-23S intergenic spacer region
Source: RNAcentral